This 253-nucleotide ribosomal RNA is filed under the name uncultured bacterium. RNAcentral's name for it is "partial 16S ribosomal RNA". It matches the Rfam family "Bacterial small subunit ribosomal RNA", at positions 524 to 776 of the family's 1533-position model. The record is from RNAcentral.
GACGUAGGGCGCGAGCGUUGUCCGGAUUUAUUGGGCGUAAAGAGCUCGUAGGCGGCUUGUUGCGUCGACCGUGAAAACCCGGGGCUCAACUUCGGGCUUGCGGUCGAUACGGGCGGGCUAGAGUUCGGUAGGGGAGACUGGAAUUCCUGGUGUAGCGGUGAAAUGCGCAGAUAUCAGGAGGAACACCAGUGGCGAAGGCGACUACCUGGCCUGUUCUUGACGCUGAGGCGCGAAAGCUAGGGGAGCAAACGGG